RNAcentral lists this ribosomal RNA (352 nucleotides) under uncultured bacterium. Its description in RNAcentral is "bacterial SSU rRNA". It matches the Rfam family "Bacterial small subunit ribosomal RNA", at positions 8 to 349 of the family's 1533-position model. The record is from RNAcentral.
AGAGUUUGAUCAUGGCUCAGGAUGAACGCUAGCUACAGGCUUAACACAUGCAAGUCGAGGGGAAACGACAUCGAAAGCUUGCUUUUGAUGGGCGUCGACCGGCGCACGGGUGAGUAACGCGUAUCCAACCUGCCCACCACUUGGGGAUAACCUUGCGAAAGUAAGACUAAUACCCAAUGAUAUCUCUAGAAGACAUCUGAAAGAGAUUAAAGAUUUAUCGGUGAUGGAUGGGGAUGCGUCUGAUUAGCUUGUUGGCGGGGUAACGCCACCAAGGCGACGAUCAGUAGGGGCUCUGAGAGGAACGGUCCCCCANAUUGGAACUGAGACACGGUCCAAACUCCGUACGGGAGCA